Long non-coding RNA from Esox lucius (northern pike), 4075 nucleotides. RefSeq lists it as uncharacterized. The record is from RefSeq and is a predicted model, not a curated record. Lineage: Eukaryota; Metazoa; Chordata; Actinopteri; Esociformes; Esocidae. The transcript is spliced from 2 exons.
CUCAGUCCCCCAUACCCCCUCGCCCUGAACUCAGUCCCCUAUACCCCCUGAACUUAGUCCCCCAUACCCCCUGAACUCAGUCCCCCAUAUACGCCCUGAACUAACAUUAGAUGGGUGAGAAGCAGGGCCUGGUGGAGGGUUUGAAUAACAGCUGUUAAUAUGUUGUGAUUUUGACCUUCCGGCUAACCUGACACCUUCCCAUGACAACGCUACCUUAUCAAAGUAACAUUUUGGCAUAUCAUUUUGACUGACACGUCCUGAUCCUCCAAUCGUUUCAUUAAACCUACAUUUAAUUUAUAACAGAUGCCCCCCCCCCAGGACGGAAACAGGAUUCAGACUAUGACUCUGCACUGUGAAUUACACGUGUGCCUUGAUUUCCUCCCAAGCUGCUCUCAGUGUAAACAGCAGACCAGAGGAGUCUAACAGAAGCGCAGAGUAGGGCUGCCUGCCUGUGUCUUCAGGGAGGGAGAGACAGGCUGGCUCGGUGGAGAGCCUGGCUGGGUCUAGAUGACGCAGCUCAGAGUGCUGGAAAGGAGGGGGUCUGGAAGAGCCCUGGCUGACGCUCUCUGUGUGGGAUGAGAGGAGGAGUGUGUGGGUGGACUGCGUGGGGUGGAAGCAUAAUCAGACGUAUUGGGUCUUCUCUCCUUUUUUUAUUUUUUUUCUCCUCUCUUCGUGUUUCCCUGUUCCCCUUGAGGCACCAGCUCAUUGAUGUGGGCUCCCCUCUUUCUUCCUCCCUCCCAGCCCCCCCCCCCUCUCUCUUUCUCUCUCCCUAUGAGUCAUUCCAGAGUACCUGCUUGGACUCUUUAACAAGCUCCCCCUGCCUCACGCCUCGCAUUCCCUGUUCUGAAGGAGAAAUAAACGAUUCUGUGACGUGCUGCUGUACUCCCACACUGUUGAACACACAGCCUCAUGAAAUCUCCUGCUCCAUGAACAAUAAUUCACCCCACAAAGUUUUUGAUGUCAAUAUAUGCGUCCCCCUCCCCCUUACAAAUAAGUUUCAUUAAAGGAGGGACCUAAUUCUGUUGCGUGCAUUUCCAACCUAUCGGUCGUUGCCGUCCGUGUCAUGGCAGCAUCCGGAGACUGGGAACGCGGCUAAUCAGGGAGAAAUGGAGGCGCGGUUUAUUGGCAACAGCCAGCCAAGCAGCAUCCUUUCUGAGUCACUGGCAGGCAGGCGUCUCCCACGCAUUCUGCCAAGGCUUGGAACCUGCUCCCCUCAGUUCGAAGGCAAUCAGAGAGAGACCCGGGCGGGUAGGUUUUGUGGGUGGGGGGUGGGCCCUCCUCUGCCGUAAUCCCAGACACUUGACAGAAUACUGAGCUGCCAUUUCACUGCGAGGAUGAGUAACACGGGGGUCCCAAAGGGGACACAUUGAAAUCUAUAUCAGUUUGUGCAUCGAGCCUGAGACGGGCCUAGCGCCCUGGACAGGACAUCACGUUUGUGUCGAAGCCAUGCCUUCCUAGGUCCUGGCUGCAGCCUGGUGCCUUCUGUCCGACUGUAAAAGACUGGUUGGCUUCACUUUUCCACGUCUGUCUGGGUGUCAUGCCGGCUGGAUGUGUACGGGCCUCCCGUCCUCCCGCUCGCUGCGAAUGGCCACGGAGUUCUACUGCACCGGCUCGGCGAAGGCACGAUACAGGCGGAGGAGAUGGUUGUUCUGCCAUUCCUGGCUCCCUGAGGAUGGGGAGAGGCAUGUUUUGACAGCCUCGUCUGCAGGACGCAGUAGCAGGGCCGGAUACACAACAGUGGUUUGUUUCAACAGAUAUCGUCUGUCUGAAGACCGUGAUGAUGUGAUGAUGCAAGGUUGAAGCAGCGGAGUGAAACAAGAAAGGGGCUAGGAAGACUCUGACUAUCCCCCUCUACCGAUCACAUUCUGGGACUCCCCACACCCCACCCUAACUGUAUGAAUGUAGCUGUUACCAUGACAAUAUUUGUAAUGGUAAUAAUAACAGUAAUUUAAAUUUAAAGAUUCAUAAAUGGCAUGAUAUGCAGAUUUAAGGACGGGGAACUAUUGACAAGACAGGCAUACACAGCUAGUCAAGAAUGUCUUGGCUUGGUUUUUGAGUUUGUGUCUGGGUGUUCUUUUAUUCCCACUAUGUUUUUAUUAUUUAUAUAAAUUGCACCCCCAUCCUCACCAGCUGUGUUUUGUCUGUUUCUUUUCACUUUCGCUUCCAACAGCAUUCAAUCAAUUCAAUUAACCAUCGACUUUAGGAUCCCUGGUCAGUUUGUUUCUGUGUGUAGGAGUUGUGGCCAGACAUUGGCUCACAGCGGUCGCUCCCAUUUCAUAAGUGUGAAACUUUAAUUCUUUACUUUAAGAUAACCAAAGUUGGUGUGGGUUUUCUGUUUGAGUUUAUUAUUCAGGCAGAUGUAUUGGGCAUAUUUGGUGUUUGUGAAGACCCUACUGGAGUUGCUUGGCCCAGCACCUAGUGGCCCCUUUCAUAGAUGCCUCCCUGUACCCAUUUAGGGCCCCACUUUAAGUUUUAGUUUUGAUCAUCAGUGACUCUGUUAGUUCCCUUUAUGGUUGACGAUAUUUGGGGUUGGAAAUUGUAUCCGAGUCACUAACAAAAUCAAUGGAUGCUCCUUGUUGGUAAAUUGACAAUGAUAAUUACACGUUUACAUACAUGGCUGUUAGGGCGACAGGCCAAUCUACAAUGUUAUCUGGCAUGCUGCAGUGUAAUAGUUACUGUCAGAGAAACUGUGGCAUCACAUUUCAGACAUGCACCUUCCUGAAUAUUCUAAAUGAACACUAAGACCCCAGCUGAGUAUCCUGAGUCUACAAAUAAACUCCUGUUGGUUGAUCUGUCUAACACAUGUGCUGCUCAGUAUAGCUUAUUCCACUGAAGGGCCAUCUACUUCACGCUGCUCAAACUAGUGUCCCUCUGAUCUUAAACACGUGUGACUGCCUGCCUUGACAGUUCUCCGUGUUGAGCUAAACAAAAGGUACCAGUUGGAUCUCCAACAGGGAUAUGUCACGCUAGCUGUGGUGUGAGCUUUACUGUGUGUUGUUUUCUGUUAUAGUCGCCUCUUCUGAACUCGCCAAAUUGGGCGCGACACCGUCUGUUGAUCUGAGCCCAUCUGGAGAUCCGGGUCACAGUCUGCCAGUUGCCCAUCCCUGUUGAUACGGGCUGGUGGGAGGGUUGAUGCACAGCCUGCUUUGAUGAAGCUAUGUGUGACUCCUGCUGUGACUGCCUUGCUUUGAUGGAGACUGCCUGGCUAUUACUAUUGAUCCAAAGCAGGGGUGUCAAAAUCAUGUCAAGGAAGGCCUACUGUACUUUUAUUAUUUUCCAUUUAAGACCUAGAUAACUAGGUCAGCUGAGUUUCUUACUAAUUUAUGACCUAAUACAACGGUCAAAUACAAGGGCAGAGCGACAACCCAUAGACUGUGCGGAAUGAGUUGGACACCUGCGAUCGACUGUUCAGUCGAAGGCUAUGCUAACUGAACAACAGAGACAGUGCAAUAUGAAUGUUUAUUGAAUAAUAUCACAAUAACAAUCCUUUGAACUCUGAUUGUAGCUAGCUAGGCCAGAGUGGGCAAAAUGCGUUGAGAUCCUCUGCUGGUGGAGUUUUAUUUAAAGCCUUUAAUGGUAGUUGUGGGGAAAUCUUGGAUGAAACACAGGAGGGACAAAGGUAAAUUCACAUGCAUCAUACCUCCAAGAUGCACUGUACAAAUGUCUUAGGUCCUCUUGAGAAUUGUUUAAUGCUAUUUAUUUUGGAUGUAAAUGUUUAUUUGCUUGCAAAAAUACUAUAUGACAUUAGUAUGAAUACAAAUGAACUAUUCAGUAGGGAGUAACUAGAAUUACUUGUUUUCCACUUGGUCAGAUGGCUAGGUGAAAUGUUGAUUUCUGAAGAAACUGGUGACACUGAAGAAAGGAAACAGUGGAAAACCCGAAAUGCUGAUUGCAUCUGAUGAACAGUACUUAAAGGUCACUUGUGGGACAGAAGGUAAUCUGGUGAAGUAGCUGCUUAGCAUAUGGCACCAAAGUACACACUUUGUCCUGAAGAAAGUUUUACAACAAAUUGCCAGAAAUGGUUUUAGACUGAUUGGGAAAACUCAAUCCUUCAGCAAAAUAAUGAUGCCAGAAA